AACGAACGCUGGCGGCAGGCUUAACACAUGCAAGUCGAACGCCCCGCAAGGGGAGUGGCAGACGGGUGAGUAACGCGUGGGAACAUACCCUUUUCUACGGAAUAGCUCUGGGAAACUGGAAUUAAUACCGUAUACGCCCUACGGGGGAAAGAUUUAUCGGGGAAGGAUUGGCCCGCGUUGGAUUAGCUAGUUGGUGGGGUAAGGCCUACCAAGGCGACGAUCCAUAGCUGGUCUGAGAGGAUGAUCAGCCACAUUGGGACUGAGACACGGCCCAAACUCCUACGGGAGGCAGCAGUGGGGAAUAUUGGACAAUGGGCGCAAGCCUGAUCCAGCCAUGCCGCGUGAGUGAUGAAGGCCUUAAGGUUGUAAAGCUCUUUCACCGAUGAAGAUAAUGACGGUAGUCGGAGAAGAAGCCCCGGCUAACUUCGUG
RNAcentral lists this ribosomal RNA (430 nucleotides) under uncultured bacterium. RNAcentral's name for it is "partial 16S ribosomal RNA". It matches the Rfam family "Bacterial small subunit ribosomal RNA", at positions 29 to 507 of the family's 1533-position model. The record is from RNAcentral.